UACGUGAAACCGUUCAGGGGUAAACGGGAGACAUCCUGAAUUCGAAAGGGGUUUUGGAUUCAACGCCUACCGACCGGACGCCGCUAUUCCUCUCCAGAUGGCGCAGGUCGCCCGCAGUGAUUCACUUCGCUCGCGGUGUCGAUUCCGGCGAUCACUCGUUGAGGUGGUGUCGAAACCCGGUACUGGUGGAGUGCACUUCCCCCCUAGUAGAAACGUCGCGACCCGUUGGGUGCCGGUCUAAGGCCCGGGGUGGAGCCCGUGUUGCCUUGUGCGCGCGGACCCCUGGUGACCCGGCCGGCUGCCCGACGGUAUGACCAGAGGAGUCGAUCCGCUGAAUGGAAAACACUGUGUGUGUGAAGCGUCCGGCCCAUUUCCCGAUGCGUGCGAGGUCGGCCCGUCAAGGGCACUGGCCUCCGCGUCUUCGGAUUUGGUGUCCUCGGACCGGAUCAGCACUCCCGUCUGCGACGCCCUUCUUCGGAUGG
This 482-nucleotide ribosomal RNA is filed under the name Necrosciinae TRB-2009. Its description in RNAcentral is "eukaryotic LSU rRNA". The record is from RNAcentral. Lineage: Eukaryota; Metazoa; Arthropoda; Insecta; Phasmatodea; Lonchodidae.